This is a long non-coding RNA of Symphalangus syndactylus (siamang), 4255 nucleotides long. RefSeq lists it as uncharacterized. The record is from RefSeq and is a predicted model, not a curated record. NCBI's taxonomy places the organism in Eukaryota, Metazoa, Chordata, Mammalia, Primates, Hylobatidae.
GACAAUGCUGAAUAUUCACAGAGGUCAAGAGAGUGUCUGGCACCAUGUUUAUUAUUCAAGUGCACCUUCUGGGACCUUCUGGGGUGUCUCAUCACCAGAUUCUUGACCUUCUUUUCAGUCUGCCUGGCAAGUGCUCAACUUGCAUAAUUUCUUUUAGUCAAUAAUGGAAAAUUGAAACUUGCAAUUAACUUCCAAGCAGGAAUUAUAUGCCUAUGUAGGUAUAUGUAUCCUGAAAAGUGAUCUUAAAAGAUGCUUCAGUAAGGACUGAUUUUUUUCAUUAACCAUCUCUUAUGAUACCAAUUUGCUCCCCUCUACUUCUGGAAGAAUGCAAAUUAAAUCCACUCUGUCAAUAGUAAUUUCUGGAUAUUAAAAGGACCUGGUUACUUUGUUAUAUCAGCUUCUGCUCAGAAAUCAACUUUAGAGGAUAAAGUACCAAAUUCUCAGCUUGACAUUCAAAGCCUUCCACAGAAGGCUCCAACUCUGCAUCCUAGCCUGUUCCCUCCAAGCUUCCCACUCCACCCUAAUGAAUGGGCAUUUUCAGGGUUUGCUAACUGUAGAGUGGGCUUGCCUAACUUGAUAUUCUGCAUAUAUUGUGACUUCAACUUAGCAGAACUCUCCCACCUCUCUGCAACCUCCAAAAGCCAUGCCAAGGCCUGCCUCUUCUCUCAGAUUGUUCCAGUCCACUGCGAUAUUGCCCUCCUGAAUUUAUGUUACUUAUUGUUGGUCACAUUCACUUGGAAAUUAAUCACAUAUGUCCUCAUAAUUUGUCUUCUAAUGUUCCAUUGCAUUUAAUUCUGGUUUUAUUUAUUAACUUAUUGUUUAUUGCUUUUAUUAAGAUUGCUAGAUGCUAACCUUAUUGAGGUCAAGAAAAAACCAUGAAAUUUUAUAUCUCCCAUGGGAUUCAUUUCUGUAUCCGGUGAAUACCGAUUGAUCAAUAUCUUCCUAUCAGGUUGGUCCUUGCUGACAAGGGAUGACAUUGCAGAAAGUAUCCAGCGCUGAGGCUUAAAACAUGGAUUUUUUCCUUCUUUUAUAGAAUUGUAAAGCAGUCCCAUAAUGUGGGAAACAUUGUUUAUUCACAGUGAACUAUCUAAAAAGCAGAUUUUCUAUUUUUCUCCUUCAUGUCUCCUCUCUCAACCUCUUUCUCAGAUUAUUUUUCUCAUUUUUACUAAUCGUCAAAACCUACGUGUUAUGCUGAGGGCUGACUGCUUACGCAGCUUCUAGGUGUCACUGGCAGAAACAUGUCUUUCAGCUGGUAACCCUCACUCAAGGGUUAACAUUUAGAGCUUAGGAAUAUCUUUAGACAAGCUAAUUAAGGGGUAGUUUGCAUUGUGUUUGUGCAUGUGUGGUUGUGCGUGUUUAACAAAGUAAAAAUAAAAUUGUGAAUUCUUGGGAGAUUUUGCCAUGAAGAGGUUAAGAGGAUUGUAAAUUGUUCUGUAAUUUGAACACUGAGGUGGUAAUGCAGUAAAGGCCGAUGAACAAACAGGCAUCAGAGGGUCUGCAUGAAUGACUCCUGGCUCAUCCUAUGUCCAUCUGCUCCUGCCUCUUCUCACCGCAUUGCCCUGGAUUUUAAAAAUUCUAACUUAAAAUAGGAAAUUUCUCGAUUUUUUUCCCUGGAAGCUUGUCAAUGAUAUAAAUGUUAAAUUCAUGGUUCAAUGAUAUAUUUUUUAAAUUUCUCAGUAAGCUAUUCUAAAAUUAGCUUUCUAAUUGUGCACAUUGCUUCUUCCUCUCAGCUCUGUGCCCUUUGCCAUCUUCACUGCGGUCCUCUACUUCCCCCGCUCCUCCCCCGUCUUCCACUAGCAAACAAACCCAGCAGUAAUUACUAAUGUCCAAGCACGUAAUUCCGGCAGCAUUAGGCUUUUCAUUUGACGCAACUACGCAGACAGCUGUCUGGACAUGCAGCAUGGAGUUAAAGCAUUUUUAAAGAUUCCUGCCCAUAUUUUCUCUCCUCCACUACUAAAACACAGUUGUUUAUUUUUGUCUGCAGAUUGCAUAGUUAUAAACUUCUUUUAUACAUUUACAUACUCGUAUAUAAAUGUCCACCCAAACAAUUUUACAUCCAUGCAAAAUAACAGAUCAACAUAUACAUACAUGGAAACACAUGGUCAUCUAUAAAAAGAAAAACGCUAGGAAAUAAUUAAAUAGCUGGGAAUGAAAUUACCUUCUGUAUAUGGACAGGGAAUUUUAGUAUCUGUGGCAUACAGAUGAUAGGAGGUAUGACUAUCUAAACACAAUCCAAGUUCUCAUUUGGGGUCUUUUAAGGGGAUCAUGAUAGCGUUUCUUUAAUGCAUUGUAUAGAUUAUUACAUAUGACGCUGUUACUCUUUUUUGCUAAUGACUCAAAUGGCAUAAUUUUGACACUGGUCAUUUUUAUGCCCGUUUUAUCUAUAUCAAACAGAGAGAAAUAUCCCUGAUGACUUUUGCUCUCUCAGAUGCUCCAAGCCCCAGAGUAGAAAAUGGUUAAAGUAGUUAUCGCCACCUCAGCAAAAUCCCGCAGUGCCAUAAGAGAAAUUGCAGUAGAUCUUUGGGUCAGAGUUAAGUUCUAGUUUAACACCAUGGUUCUUUACCUGCAUUACCCUGAAGGACACACUUGGAUUCUCCUGAGGAAGGCCAGUCUUAAUAUUGUCAAAAUCUAAAGCUAUCAGCCUGCGAUAACAAGUGCUGAUAGGAAAUACUUCCAGUAACUCUGAAACCAUGGCCGAAGAGGUUAAAUCUAUUCAGUACAGGACCAGUAAAAUUUUUCAGAUAUGUGUUUUUGUGGAUGAAUGCUUGUGUUCAUGCCUGAUUGCAAGGAUGGGGGAAGAAGGAAAAGGAAGAGUGAUUCAUUCUUAAAGUUGAUUCUGCUUAGUUCAGCUAAUCUCACAUUUUUAUCAAAUGGAAACAGAGAGAGAGAUGUAUCAUCCCUAUAAACAGAUAGCAUUGGGUUCUUCAUAUAUACAGUACUCAGGCUCACCCAAGAUCUGUAGACAGAUCUACUCUGUGUUAAAAAACAAAACCAAACAAAAACCUUGAUACUCUGCUGGAGGAUAAAUCCAUAUUUUUUAAAAAAUGUAUUUAUUUUCUACGUAAAAUAAGGGUCAGAGGGCAACACAGAAGAUUUCCACAGGUAGACUACUAUUUUGUUGAAGCUAUGCAGGAGGUGAGGAGGGGAACAGGAAAUUGUCUGCAAAGGAGUCUCUGUGAGGAAGAUUUAUUUCUUUCUUGUUUUCUUUUAACCUACUAUGACUCCUCUAUUAAGGGUCUCCGUAAGACCGGGGUCUCAGAGAGACAAUUUGGUCUCCAGCCCCGGCACAUCCAGCCCUGGCCAGGCAUUUCUGCCGCAGGCAGAUGCGGCGCUGCGACCGGACCGCUGUCCCCGGUGCUGAAAGGUCGAGGGCGUCCGCGCGAGCCCUCGGUAUUGCUAUCCAGGGUGCUGAGCGCGGGCCGCUGCAGUCCCCGAAGCCAGCCCACCCGCGCCAGCCCUCCGCAGAGCCCUCCCACCCGGCACGACCCGCCCGCCUCCCGCCAGCCUGCAGUUGACGUGGAGCAGGCGGCAUAAAUCAAGUCCGCGGGGCAUGGAGGCUGCUGUCGCUGCAGCAGCUCAGCUUGCCCGGGGCGGGAACUCCCCCUUUCUCCUUUCACCUCCCCAGCACCCACACCCUGUCUCCCCCUUAAUUCUUCCCUGGAUAAUAGCACCCUAGCGACAACAGUCAUAAUAGUAGGGUUAAAACGACAGGGGAGGAAAACCCAACAGCCUAAAUAUCUCUGAAAACUGCAUCGCAAAAUGGAAGAAAGAGGGGGUCCCACUACUGUUUCAAAAGAGUAAGUUAUUAUUCGGAGCCAUGGAAGCCAAAUGCUGAGGAUGGUGGCAUCAUAGGAUGAAUGGAGCUGGGUUCUUGAAACACUGCUUGGAGGAAAGACAGCAAAAAUGCCUCAGGAAUCCCACUGGACUGUUAGGAUGCUCACCCUUGGAGACCAGCAACAAUGUGUGCAGAAACCCAGGCCAUGUGGAGAGGCCCCACGUACGUGUCCAACUGAGGUCCCAGCUGACAGCUGGCAUUGACAUGUGAGUGAGACUCUGAACGUUCCAGCUGAUGACGAGUACAGUUUGAGCAAGCUAUCCCUGUUGGGCCUGUCAAAACUGCAGAUUUCAUGAAGAAAAUAAGUGUCAUUGACUUAAGCCGGUAAGUUUUGACAUACUAUGUUACACAGCCAUAGUAGCUGGAAGAGUGUGAAACGAAUACUAUUCUCUUGUGUCUCAUUUCUCUAUAAAGUAUAUC